Molecule: microRNA, 22 nt
Filed under: Pristionchus pacificus
Lineage: Eukaryota; Metazoa; Nematoda; Chromadorea; Rhabditida; Neodiplogasteridae
Description: ppc-miR-8263-3p
Source: miRBase by way of RNAcentral
UCUGGGAAACGCUUCGACUGGA